This 861-nucleotide ribosomal RNA is filed under the name uncultured SAR324 cluster bacterium. Its description in RNAcentral is "SSU rRNA". It matches the Rfam family "Bacterial small subunit ribosomal RNA", at positions 22 to 902 of the family's 1533-position model. The record is from RNAcentral. Lineage: Bacteria; Deltaproteobacteria.
GCUCANGACGAACGCUGGCGGCACGCCUAACACAUGCAAGUCGAGCGCGAAAGCCGCUUCGGCGGCGAGUAGAGCGGCGCACGGGUGAGUAACGCGUGGCCAACCUGCCCUCGGGACCGGGACAACCCUUCGAAAGGGGGGCUAAUACCGGAUGAGACCCAGAUCGUGGGAUCGGGGUUGAAAGCUCCGGCGCCCGGGGAGGGGGCCGCGUCCCAUCAGCUAGCCGGUGAGGUAAUGGCUCACCGGGGCGACGACGGGUAGCGGGUCUGAGAGGACGGUCCGCCACACUGGCACUGAGACACGGGCCAGACUCCUGCGGGAGGCAGCAGUGGGGAAUCUUGCGCAAUGGGCGCAAGCCUGACGCAGCGAUGCCGCGUGGGUGAAGAAGGCCUUCGGGUCGUAAAGCCCUUUUGGUGGGGAGGAUGAUGACGUCACCCACCGAAUAAGCGCCGGCUAACUACGUGCCAGCAGCCGCGGUAAUACGUAGGGCGCGAGCGUUGUCCGGAAUCACUGGGCGUAAAGGGCGCGCAGGUGGGUUCGCAAGCGGGGGGUGAAAGGCCGGGGCUCAACCCCGGGACUGCUUCCCGAACUGCGGAUCUAGAGGGGGUCAGGGGCCAGCGGAAUUCCGGGUGGAGAGGUGAAAUUCGUAGAGAUCCGGAGGAACGCCGGCGGCGAAAGCGGCUGGCUGGGGCCGCCCUGACACUGAGGCGCGAGAGCGUGGGGAGCAAACAGGAUUAGAUACCCUGGUAGUCCACGCCGUAAACGAUGGGUACCGGGUGUCCGGGGGGUCGACCCCCCUGGGCGCCGCAGCUAACGCGAUGAGUACCCCGCCUGGGGAGUACGGCCGCAAGGCUAAAACUC